Molecule: non-coding RNA, 73 nt
Organism: Trichonephila inaurata madagascariensis
Lineage: Eukaryota; Metazoa; Arthropoda; Arachnida; Araneae; Nephilidae
Source: the annotation of a GenBank genome assembly
GUUCCGGUAGUGCAAUGGAUAGCACUUUGAGCCUCUAAUCCAAGGGUCGUGGGUUUGAAUCCCACCUGGGAUA